CCUACGGGUGGCAGCAGUCGAGAAUCAUUCACAAUGGGGGAGACCCUGAUGGUGCGACGCCGCGUGGGGGAAUGAAGGUCUUCGGAUUGUAAACCCCUGUCAUGUGGGAGCAAAUUAAAAAGAUAGUACCACAAGAGGAAGAGACGGCUAACUCUGUGCCAGCAGCCGCGGUAAUGCAGAGGUCUCAAGCGUUGUUCGGAACCACUGGGCGUAAAGCGUGCGGAGGCUGUUUCGUAAGUCGGGUGUGAAAGGCGCGGGCUCAACCCGCGGACGGCACAUGAUACUGCGAGACUAGAGUAAUGGAGGGGGAACCGGAAUUCUCGGUGUAGCAGUGAAAUGCGUAGAUAUCGAGAGGAACACUCGUGGCGAAGGCGGGUUCCUGGACAUUAACUGACGCUGAGGCACGAAGGCCAGGGGAGCAAACAGGAUUAGAUACCCGAGUAGUC
This 446-nucleotide ribosomal RNA is filed under the name uncultured bacterium. RNAcentral's name for it is "partial 16S ribosomal RNA". It matches the Rfam family "Bacterial small subunit ribosomal RNA", at positions 338 to 795 of the family's 1533-position model. The record is from RNAcentral.